AAAACAGGGGAAGCUUGAAGAAAGAAAAAAAGAAAAAGAAAAGAAAGAAAGACAGAGAAGGGAGAAAGGGUUAUCGAGGGAGAAGAGAGGAAGAGAGGGUUGUGUCGGGGAAGAAAAGGAGAGGAAGAGAGGUCUGAGGGAGAAGUGAGUUACGUCGCAGGGGAGAAGAGGGAGACCGAGCCGUCGCGCCACCACCGAAUCAUCGCGCCGCCACGCCGCCGCCACCGUCGGGCUGCUGUGCUGCCAUCGAUACGGUUCAGAGAGGAAGGAAGCGCUACGGUGAGGAAGGGAGCAGGAGCCCAUCGCGCUCGCUGCAAGCCCGUCGUCCGUGUCUUGUCGCCGCGCUGGAGUCGUCGCCGCCAAUGCUGAGCACCGCCGCUGCCGCCUUUGAGGGGAGCCGCCACCAUAGCUGGGAAGAACGGAGUAGGGGAGAGGAGGUUUUGUUGAUGUUGUGGCAGAGAAGGAGGACGAGACGUGUGAGAGAGAGUGACGCACAGAGGAGAGACCAUUCCUCUGCCGCCGCCGAUCGCUGCCAUCAUUAAUGGUGAGUCAGUUAAGCCCUAGCUAUGAGAACCACCAUCUCUGAACCCUUAUUGCUCUGUAAAAUACCCUGUAUCUGCCUCUGAUGUUUUUAGCUAUAUUGUUUGUUGGGGUUUGUCUCAAUUGGAGUCACUGGUGAAGGCGUUGCCGCUGCUGGAAGCCAACGUCGAGGCUGUUGCUGGUUCUGAUUCUAUUAUCCUGGGCUGUUACACUGGUUAAAGAAUAUACACAAAAUUAUGAUACUUACAUUGGAAGGAUUUGAUAACAAAGAAGAAUCAAUGCUAUAUUGAUGCAAGAUCCAUCCACCAUCAUGGCUAGUACCACUCUUCUCAAAGCGAUAUCGUUUCCUCGUUUCCUCAUUCCAAUGCGCUGGUUAGUUUUAUUGGCUAUAAUCUCUUUUCCGAUGUCUUCACCUUCCCAACAACCCAACCCGAUGGUGCGAACCAUCCUCAAGCUGUUAGUCGAGAACUUCCUCUUCAGACUAGUGAAGAAAUAGAGGUCGUUCUUCCCAAAUUUCCCAUGGAUUCUUCUCCUUACCAAACAAUUCACCUUCAAGAAUGGUUCCAUAGUUUGGUAGAGGCCUCCCAUUGAUUUUGUUACGGAGAAAAUCUUGAAUGAGUUCUUCAUCUGUAGUACAUGCACAAGCAAAUACACACACACAGCAGAAGAAAGAAUAGAGAACGGAAGCCAGAGAAGAGAAGAGAGGAAGGACGCGCUGGCGCUAGUGGUCCUCGCAACCGCCGUCGCCGCCAAACCAACCGCGCGAGAGAGAGAAAGUUCGCUGAAGAGAGAUGCGUCAGAAAGAGAGAGAGCUCGCACCUUGUCAUUGCCGUCCAUGGAGCCACGAGCCGCAUCACUGUCGCCGAGGGAGGAAAGAGCACGAGCUGGAGGAGCCGUUGAAGAAGUUAUCGGCUGUGAGGCAAAGAUAAUUUUCGUUGAUAAUGGGUUUCAAUUCGGUGUAUAGGAGCUUGCUUGCAAGAUAUAUUCCCCCAGGAUUCCAAAAUGAACACUCUGGCCCAUCAUUUUAAAGAAUUUUUGUUCAUACCAGAACACUUAAGGCGGUGGCUAUUGAAAAUCCAAAUGAUGCUGAUCAAGCUGCUGAAAUUGUUCUCAGUGAAUUGCACAGAGACUUAAUAUUGCCACUACCAUGGAAGAGGACUUGCAGCUGCAUUUUUAUUGUUAACAAGAAGAGAAGAUAUGAGAGAGCGCGCUGCAAGUUUUGAAAGGGGGAGUAGUUGGCACCAUAUGAGGGAAAGACUUCCUCUUUCGAUGUUGCAGAGAAGAGAAGAAGAAAACAACAAUGGUGAAGAAACAAAGAACGAUGGAAGAAGGAGAAGAGGGUGGCGACGACAGGGACGGUCACAGAGAAGGAUGCCAGAUCAAUAGAGAAAAGAAGAGAAAUGAGGCGACAGUGGUGAUGGAUUCCACCGCCGCUGUUGGAUCCGUAGAACUGUGUCCAUUUACCUAUCAAUCGGCAUUAUGCAGAGUUAUCCAUUUGAGUUGUGGAGUAUACACAAAUCAAUUGGUUAAGAUGAUUGUGUUUGCCAUCUCACAAAUCUGACAUGGUCAGGCCUCGAUGAAAAACGCAACUAAUGCUAUGGAGUCGCACACUAUUGACUUUUUUGGAUCAAUUCCAUGAUGCAAAUUCCAUGUCACUUGAGUUUAGUGUUCUUAAGGAUCUCAUUGAGAUUUUAGAGAGCAAAAGUAGCCUCAUUGAAGAGGCAGGGAGCUUGCAAUGUCUCCAAUCAAAUUGCUACGUUUUGAUGUAACUGUUUGGUAAAAAAAAGCUUAGAUUUUGGAGGAUGUCCAUUUUUGCUUCAAAAGAGGGACUUGAUUUAAGAAGCAAUAAUGGAAGGACGGUUGAAAUUCGACGAUGACAAGAAAGAGAUGAAGGUUGAUGUGGAUCCCUUCGAGAUCGAUGAUAGUUAUGUCAAACUUUGUUUAGGGGGUGAAUAUGGUUGGCAUGUCCUAUAACUUUGAUGUGGCUCUUGAUGAUUUUGAGUCACAGGUGAGAUCUGUAUACCCUAGAACGGGAGAUGGCUUGCUGGAUUUCUUGGUUCAGCAAAAGAUCAAAGACUGGAACGUAUCUCUGUGUCCUCGGUGCAAUGCUAUUUUUGAUGCUGAAGCAGCAGCAAUCUUUGAAAAAGAAUGGAUGAAGAAAGAAUUGGCUCAUAGCGAAGAGCAAGUGCCCCAGAGGCAGCCAAUUCGACGUGUGAAGGGUUCUAGUUCAAAGAUCCCUCAGCAUGAUGUGACUACACCUUUAAGCCAAUCCCAGGCUGUAGGUGUUCAGUGGAUUAAGAAUUGUCAGGAAUUCCAGAGGCGUGACCAUCUAUAUCGACGUAAUCCUCAAUGGGGGCAUCGGGCACCUUCUCGAAAUCAAUAUGCCUAUUAUCGACGACGGGCCAGGGGUUAUCCAAGGGAAGAGGUGGAAGGAGAAGUUUCAAUCAGAAUAAGAAACUUCAACUAGAGGCAGGAAAAGAGGUAAGCAAGGGAAAACGCCUUCUGUGCAUUCUCGAAUUGUCUUUUCUUUUGAUGGAGAGACUUAUCCCAAGAAAAUUCCAUCACCUGCUAAGAUGGAAAAAGGCAAAGCAGUGACUCAGUCCUCAGGAGUCGAUAAAAACAAAGAUGUCGAUGUUGAUGAAGAGUAUUUUGAUGAAGGGGAUGAUGACAUGAUAGGGACGAUCUCGAUUAUUCCAACUGAAUACCUUGGGGAAUGUGAGAGUAAUCCAGAUGAGGAUUAUGAUCAAGAAGAUGAGGAGGCUUUCUCCUUUAUUCGAGUUGAAGAUGAACCGGGGUAUUUUUCUCGGCCUACUGAAAAACAAAUGUCCCAUUUACGCCCACUUCAUAUUAUCGCUAUUUUGAAUGGAUUCAAAAUAAACAAAGUGUUGAUUGACGGUGGGGCAGCAAUUAGUCUUCUGCCUGAGAGGAUGUUAGGAAAAGUGGGGAAACAUUUUGAGGAACUGGUCCCUACAAAUAUUGCUGGAAUUGAUUUUAGUGGGGCUUCUACGCCAGCAAAAGGGUUGGUAACUUUGACUGUGAAGGUUGGGUCGUAUGAAAGACAUUCUGUAUUUGUGGUAGUUCCAUCAAAGGACAGUUAUAAUGCUUUGUUGGGAUGAGAUUGGACUCAUGGUGUAGGGGUUGUACCUUCUACUGUGCAUCAAAGUGUGCUUUUAUGGACUAAAGACGGAAAGCCUGAGGUCGUCAAAGCAGAUUUGAAUUUAUAUGUCGAACAACUGCAUGUCAAUUUCAAGAUGUAUAGCCGUAAGUUAAAGCCCUUAAAUGUUGAUCGAUCACUGAACCCUUAUAAUUGUGAAGCGUGUUUCUUGUCCUCGGAAGGCUUUUCGGUGAAGCUUCUUUACCCUGAAUUGGACUUCGAGCCAACUGGUUGGGACUGUCUUUCUUGAAGACCUUAAAGACUGCUCUAUGGACCAGGUUGAGGAAAUUUCUGACUACCUGGUAACAUUACAUAAUUAUUUGAAUAAUUUUCAGUAUUUAGAAAAUAAAGAUAGUUCUUCUGAUAAAGUUGAAUCAGAUAGGGUUAAUAAUCUUAUUAAUUGUAAUGUGUUCAAUUCGACGUCCUCGAUCGAGUUUAGUUAUGAUUUCCCUAUUUCUUGUAAUGAAAUUAAUGAUGUGAGUCGGACUGCCGAUUUAAUAGCAGAGACUCAUUGUGUAGAAAAUAAAAGUAGUGAUAAAUUAAGCAAAGAUCAAGUUUC
This is an RNA transcript of Arachis duranensis, 4253 nucleotides long. RefSeq lists it as uncharacterized. NCBI's taxonomy places the organism in Eukaryota, Viridiplantae, Streptophyta, Magnoliopsida, Fabales, Fabaceae. The transcript has 10 exons. The record is from RefSeq and is a predicted model, not a curated record.